RNAcentral lists this long non-coding RNA (2291 nucleotides) under Equus caballus (horse). Its description in RNAcentral is "lncRNA (ENSECAG00000055514.1)". The record is from RNAcentral. Lineage: Eukaryota; Metazoa; Chordata; Mammalia; Perissodactyla; Equidae.
AGCCAACAGAUGUUGGGAGGAGAAUGAUGGUUGCAAGUGACCGAAACAAGACUAGGAAAGACUCUUUUGAAGUUUGGCAGCUAAGUGAAGUAGAGUGGAUAUGAACUUGAAGGGGAUAGGAAACUUGAGAAUUUCUUUUUAAUUGGAUAGAUUUAUACGUAUUUGUGGGCUGAAGAGAAAAAGCCACUAGAGAUAGAAAGAUUAAAGAUGUCAGAGAGAAAUGGACUAUGGAUCAAGGAUUUAAGAACAGGGGAGCCCUUUCUUUAUUUUGUCAGCUGACUGAUGGAGAGGUGGUGUUAGGGGCUGAAUUGUGUGCCCCCAAAUUCAUAUACUGAAGUCCUGAUUCCUGCACCUCGGAAUGUGACUGUGUUUGGAGAGAGGGUCUUUACAGAAGUGGUUAAGAUAAAAUGAGGUCAUAUGGGUGGGCCCUAAUCCAGUAUGACUGGUGUCUUUAAAGAAAGGGAGAUUAGGACACAGACAUGCACAGCGGGAAGACCACAUGAGGACACAGGGAGAAGACGGCCAUCUCAAAGCCGCGGAGAGAGGCCUCAGAAGAAACCAACCCUGCCAAUGCCUUGACUUCAGACUUCUAGCCUCCAGAAUGCACCUUUGAUGUUGAGUUCAUGGGAAAUACAGAAAAUGCACAUCAGAUCAGUACUGCAAAACAAUGGUGCCCAGAUGCUUGUGAUUGGAGGUCGUUCUCUCACCGUGUCGGAGCUGCGUUUUGAGAGGUGGCCAGUGUGAGCCUGUGGGCUAGUAUCAGCUGCCUUAACCUUAGGAAGAGGAGGAAGCAGCUUUGGUUGGAUAUAGUGAUCCUCGUGCUGAAGAGGACCCGCCACGGGCUUCAAGGUCUUACUUGGAAGAGGUUGUGGCAAUUUAUAAUUAUACAAAAGACAAGGAAGAUGAGCUAUCCUUUCAGGAAGAGCCAUUAUUUAUGUCAUCCAAAAGAAAACGAUGGUUGAUAUGAGGGAGUUCUGAUGCAGUGACUAGGCUCUUUCCUGCGAAUUAUGCUGAGUCUGUCAUGCAUUGUCCUGAGUAAAGCUCAGCAGGGGAUAAUCGGGUCUUCCAAGAUUGUUAAAAGGCCCUGGGGAUUCCCCCCCCCUGGUGAAAUGAAUGAAAGACACGAAUGAUGAAAACUACUUUUUUUUUUGGUUUAUCCCCCUGUAUCAAAACAAACAAAAAAGCAAGCGGAGUCUGAACAAAUGGAUCUUUCUGCCAUCAUUUGCACUGUGCUGAGCUGUCUGAAUUGAUAUAAAGUGAUGAUUUCUAAAUAUGUAAAAAAAAUACAUACAGCAGAUUUCAUGGAAAACAAACAUAAUGCACAUGUACAAAUAUACGUACAGCAUACAAGCAGAUAGUGUAUCUGUGGUGCUAAGAUGCCAAUCCUGAUCGUGCACGUCCACAGGUCGAUCAUCACCGCCCGCUUGCAAGGCAAUCACGUUUUUGUGACACCGAGUCAUCAUUAUCUAAUCUGUGGACAGCAAUAUGGUACUGAUGCUCUAGGAAGAACUUGGAAGUGGAGCCUGGGUGUCAGGGCCAGAUGACUGGGCUUUCCCGAGCUGGUCCUGUCAGCUUCUCAUUUCUUGCCUUCGCCCAAAAGCCAAGCACACACUCACAAGGCCUUCGCACUCACAGUUCCCUCUGCCUAUAAAGCUCUCUGCCAGAGCAGGGCUCACUUGCUCAUUUGCUCCAGGGCCCUGCUCACAAUUCACGUCCUCAGAAUGCACGCCCAGCCGGUCCCCACUCUCAACCCUUUACUCUAUUUUUUUCUUUGCUUGUUUUCACUUAUGAUGCCUAUCACCACCUGGCAUUAUAUUAGAGCCCUCCCUCCUAUCCGUGAGGGAUUGGUUCCAGGACUCAGCUGCCCAGAUACCAAAAUCCCUGGAUGCUCAAGUCUCUUAUAAAAUGGCCCAUCCUCUGGAGUGCUUUAUAUCAUCUCUGGAUUACUGAUAUACCUGAUACAGUGUAAAGGCUAUGUAAGUAGUUGUUAUACUGUAUUGUUUAGGGUACAAUGACAAGGAGAAAAGUCUGUACGUGUUCAGUACAGACACAACCAUCGCAGGCCUUCCCAUCGACGUUGGUUGAAUAUGGAUGCAGAUCCUAUGGAUACGAAGGGCUGACUGUAUUAUCUAUUUGGUUUUUUUGUUUAUUGUUUAUUUCCCUCAUGGGGCCGUAAACUUCAUAGGAUGGGGCUUUUGUUUACUACUGUCCCUCCAAAAUAGGGACUCGAUAUUUGUUGACUGUGUAAUGGAGACAUGAAUAAAUACUGGAGGCUGGGUUUGAUUCUUGGC